UGGGGAAUUUUCCGCAAUGGGCGCAAGCCUGACGGAGCAGUACCGCGUGAGGGAGGAAGGCUUUUGGGUUGUAAACCUCUUUUCUCAAGGAAGAAGCACUGACGGUACUUGAGGAAUCAGCAUCGGCUAACUCCGUGCCAGCAGCCGCGGUAAUACGGAGGAUGCAAGCGUUAUCCGGAAUUAUUGGGCGUAAAGCGUCCGCAGGUGGUACAUCAAGUCUGCUGUCAAAGACUAGGGCUUAACCCUGGAGAGGCAGUGGAAACUGAUGAACUAGAGUACGGUAGGGGUAGAGGGAAUUCCCAGUGUAGCGGUGAAAUGCGUAGAGAUUGGGAAGAACACCAGUGGCGAAGGCGCUCUACUGGAUCCUGUACUGACACUCAGGGACGAAAGCUAGGGGAGCGAAAGGGAUUAGAUACCCCUGUAGUC
RNAcentral lists this ribosomal RNA (426 nucleotides) under uncultured cyanobacterium. RNAcentral describes it as "bacterial SSU rRNA". It matches the Rfam family "Bacterial small subunit ribosomal RNA", at positions 355 to 795 of the family's 1533-position model. Lineage: Bacteria; Bacillati; Cyanobacteriota. The record is from RNAcentral.